Molecule: ribosomal RNA, 119 nt
Filed under: Pteropus alecto (black flying fox)
Lineage: Eukaryota; Metazoa; Chordata; Mammalia; Chiroptera; Pteropodidae
Source: RNAcentral
GUCUAUGGCCAUGCCACCCUGAACAAGCCCGAUCCCAUCUGAUCUCAGAAGCUAAGCAGGGUUGGGCCUGGUUAGUACUGAGAUGGGAGACCACCUAGGAAGACCAGGUGCUGUAGGCA